CGGGAUAAUGGCAACCUUGCGGAGGGCAUGUUCGAAGCUUGUUUGAAGGAUAGCGCAGCCCAGCUGCAGAGUAUGCUCAUGAGGCAGAUAGUGGGGGCGGCACGGCCAUCCCACCGGUUGUAUGCGGAGUUGGCUGAGCUCCCCCAGCAGUAUUACAUGGUGAAACAGAUCCUCCGUUUCUGGAACCGCCUUCAAAAGCAAGUGAGGUCCAUUGCUCAUGCAGUUUUACGGCAGGAGAUAACCGAUGCUCUGGCCAAUCCGGAAUGGGAGGGUUGGGGAACCCCAGUGUUACGACUGUUUUCCUUCUUGUAGCGCAAUACUUGGAGAGGAAUACCGCAAGAAGUCGUGGGGGUAAAGCGGUGUGUUGACUGGUUGUUGAGUAGGCCUCUCUGUAGCGCCGCGCCGCGGCGGGCGGCACCCGGCGGCAGCCCAAAAAUUUUCGCGUUUGGGGGAACCGCUGGAUGGACACACCGGGGCGCCCAGGAUCGUUUAGAGAAAGGAAUCGAUACCAGUAGAUUGUUUUAGUGGGAUAGGAUCGAGAUUUGUGUGUGCGAGCGGAAGCAGAGUCAGAGUUUAGUCCUGAGACCGUAGGCUCAGGUGUGGUUGUGAGCCUGAUGUGAGCAGAGUUUUACUGCUUCUUGGCCACUAGGCCCAAUGUCAGCUUGGAACCUGGUUGGCUGUUGACAAGAUAAAAUGGGUGGGAGUCAUCCACGCCAAGUGAAGGCGAUAUCCGUUACAAACUGCCUUGGCCGGUGCGUCCUGCUACCGUGCUCGGGAGUUGUAUGACUAGAGUAUCCCUUGGAAAACAUUGGUCAGGCCGCGCCUUAUAUAUGGUAAACACGCCCGCCAUUCGUACAACUGUCGUAUGGUCAACGUAAGACGUAGCUACCCUUUUCGCGCAGCAACUGCUCAUUACACAACGGUAGCUACCCGUUUACGCAGCUCCUGGCCAGGUUCAUGGCGGCCAAAGGAAACUGAGAAGAAACUAGUACAGGAUAUUUUUCAUAGAACAUUUCUCAGACCGGAGCUAGAUCGUCAGACACAAAUCGCCUGCUUUUACGUCGCCCGGUCGAAACAUUCCUCGUCAGUCUUUACGCGGUGCGCCGUAUGUACAUGACCAUUCUCAACGCGUUUAUAGUUUUUAAUUAACGAUAUGGCAAUAUUCGACCUCCUGCUAUGCCCGGAACGAUACGCAACCAAAGCCGUCAGACUCAGUUUUCUAUGACUAGCUGGACGUUGCUACAUCUCCCCAAAGGAGCGGUGAUAACGGCACUAAGGGAGCGUUUGAUGAGCAGCUGGGACCAUGCGCGCCUGACUAUCUUGUCUUGCCAGAGGAUUACCCACCAGUUGGGAAGCAACCGAGAGUGCAGAUGGCGAAGUAUAAGCACUGGAUGGGGAUGCCCUUUAAAUUUUCGGGAGCCGCAGCCGUUAAGUGGCCAACAUAUGCUAAGGUUUUCAUUUCUCGUGUAGCACGUCGUUCGUUUGUGUUGCUGGGCUAUGGAAGCAAACAGAGCAUGAAGCGGCUAGUACCAUGUCCCCAGGGAGCAGCGGUUUUGCCGCUGUUGUGGCACCAAUAGCCAAGUUGAGGAUGAAAAACACGNNNNNNNNNNNNNNNNNNNNNNNNNNNNNNNNNNNNNNNNNNNNNNNNNNAGGUGUGGUUGUGAGCCUGAUGUGAGCAGAGUUUUACUGCUUCUUGGCCACUAGGCCCAAUGUCAGCUUGGAACCUGGUUGGCUGUUGACAAGAUAAAAUGGGUGGGAGUCAUCCACGCCAAGUGAAGGCGAUAUCCGUUACAAACUGCCUUGGCCGGUGCGUCCUGCUACCGUGCUCGGGAGUUGUAUGACUAGAGUAUCCCUUGGAAAACAUUGGUCAGGCCGCGCCUUAUAUAUGGUAAACACG
Molecule: long non-coding RNA, 1897 nt
Filed under: Volvox carteri
Lineage: Eukaryota; Viridiplantae; Chlorophyta; Chlorophyceae; Chlamydomonadales; Volvocaceae
Description: long non-coding RNA (VCAR_LNC000529)
Source: RNAcentral